GCUUUACAACGAGACACAUGAAAGUCACUUCCAAGAGACUGACCACGUCACUUGGAAAAAGAUCGUCGAUUGCUCAGGUCAUCCUACAGUUGGCAGUGUUACACAUACACAUUGAAGGGCGGUGGGGUAGUCUAAUGGUUAAAGCGUUGACUCGUCACGCCGAAGACCCGGGUUCGAAUCCCCACAUGGGUACAAUGAGUGAAGCCCAUUUCUGGUGUCCCCCGCCGUGUUAUUGCUGGAAUAUUGCUAAAAGCGGCGUAAAACCAAACUCAGUCAGUCAGGCAUACACAUUGAGUCUCACAUUCCCAUUUGCUGCAGUUCUGUUAAAUGAAUGGAAGGAACGUAGUGUGGCGUUCCGGUAGAAAAGAAGUGUGUUAGGUUUGUCUGUUGCCUAACGCUGCGCGGGAGUUGCAUGGUGGCAGUAUACACAAUCUAAUCUAAUGAUAUCCAGUGACGAACAUCAUCAGCAUCGAUACACGUAAUUGGGAUACGAUGACCAAGUCACCAAGCCCGAUACAGUUAGUCGCCUCAAACGACUCAAGUUAGACCUCUAGUUGGGACCUGUAUUCUUACCCGCAGUCUCUGGGGGUGAUGUCUGAAAGGGAAGCACGUCAUGUUAAUGAGAAGGACACGGGCUGUUCGUUCUAUGCGUUGUUGGUGCUCAGCCGCAGUGCAAGUGUUAGUGCAAGAAACAUAUAUGUUAAAAGCAGGUGUAACACGCUGAAGGGUAUGUAGUGGAACAUCUGCGAAUAAGAAGUUGUUCCUAAGAUCCAUAUAUAUUUGUUUGUUGUUGUUUU
Long non-coding RNA from Haliotis rubra (blacklip abalone), 797 nucleotides. RefSeq lists it as uncharacterized. The record is from RefSeq and is a predicted model, not a curated record. NCBI's taxonomy places the organism in Eukaryota, Metazoa, Mollusca, Gastropoda, Lepetellida, Haliotidae. The transcript has 2 exons.